Molecule: long non-coding RNA, 955 nt
Organism: Pomacea canaliculata
Lineage: Eukaryota; Metazoa; Mollusca; Gastropoda; Architaenioglossa; Ampullariidae
Exons: 6
Source: RefSeq, a predicted model, not a curated record
AAAACGGUUAGUUUGCGGGAGAGGAGAAGCACAGCUCGGAAAAGCGUGAGUGAAAGCGAUGAUGUCUCCCCUUGUCCUCCUCGUGUGUGUCGGUGUGGUGGCGGUUGGUGCCGACCUUGCUGGAGUCACUGUCACAGAUGGGGACUGCCUUUGCGUCGUUGGGACCGGCGUCAACGCUAGGGACAGACCGGGGACAUCAGGUACCACUGUCAUUGCCCGCUAUGACACCGGAAGCUGUUUCAAGCUGAGCGGAGGAAUCCAGGCAGCGGGAUCGUACACUUGGUAUUAGGUCACAGACGGGUCAAAGAGCUUUUGGAUCGCUGGAAACUACCUGAAGAAGUCGUCAGCCAGCGAUUGCACUUCCGGUGCGUGCAGUGCGCGAGAGAAGGAGCUGGCGUGUGAACUGUUACGUAACCCCAAGAUAGGGUUGGCCAGGGUCCACCCGUCUGGUAAGACCGACAACGCCUACGCUUACAACAAUCUUCGUGAUAUGUGCAAUGGAUUGAAAGCCUCUCGUUCCAGUUACAGCUGCAGUGAAUGUGCGACGGGAGCACCAGGUGGAACCGUUUGUCUGAGCGAAAAAGUACUAGAGUACCUGGCCACCCUUGCUCAAAAAUACGACGAUGUUUAUGUCACAGAGCUGGCGGGCGCUUGUCACUCGUGUUCAUCUCUCCACUACUCUGGGAAGGCCGUGGACCUGCGCAUACCUGGCACCAGAGCCCAACGUCAGGGCUACCUGGACACCUGCAAAACUUGAAAGCCACCCUGUCACUCGACGAAGGCAACCACAUCCACUGUCAGUUUUAAAAUGUCCCCACUGCCCUCAAACACCAACUUCUUGCGCAUGUCCGGUGAUCCCCUGGUCCCAAAGCUUCUAGAGCUGGUUACACACCAUCUCACUGGAUGUUAGCUAAGCUGCUCUCCUGAAGCAGUCAGAAAUAGUUCUCAUAUUUCA